Molecule: long non-coding RNA, 638 nt
Organism: Nomascus leucogenys (northern white-cheeked gibbon)
Lineage: Eukaryota; Metazoa; Chordata; Mammalia; Primates; Hylobatidae
Exons: 2
Source: RefSeq, a predicted model, not a curated record
GUGUCAUAAUUUGAAGGUGUUAUCAAUCGCUUCAGUGGCUCCCCUAGGUGCUGGCAUCACACUGCUUGUUUUGAACUUUUGCUUAGUUAUUGCCCAUUUCUGGGUGCCCAUCUCCAACAUGUAUAUUAGAGUGAAAAGCCUUAUGAGGAAUUCCCCAUUAUACUCAUUCCCUACUUUCUAUGUUGGCUCAUUUAUUUUCAAAGUACCCUGACAAGAAUGCUCCACAAUUCACAAGCUACGCCAUUCACGGCCCUCAAUGAAGUCACUGGUCCACGGGUCCUCACUCUGUUCUCUCUCUCCCUGCAUUUGUGUGUGCCUCUGGGUAUGGUGUGCCUCCCUCUCUAGGACCUGAGAGACUUUGCUGAAAAUAGACCUACAUAAAUAGGAAUGUGGGAAAUCUACAUAUGUAGGAGCAGAAGAAAAACCACAAUAGCCACCUGGAAAAAAUCAAUCUAUAAAAAUCAGAUGUAUGAAGAAAAUUAAAAGCUUGAAAUAUAAAAACCAAGAUAGGCAAAGAUUAGAACUGACUCUGGAGGAAAGCAACACUUAUCAAGAAAAUACAAGAUAAUUUAAAAAUAAUGUCACCAACACUAACAAUAGCAAAUAGCUCACUAAUAAAGUCCCUAUUUUUAAAAAGU